GAUUAACGCUGGCGGCAUGCCUAAUACAUGCAAGUCGAAUGGGUAGCUUGCUAUCCAUGGCGAACGGGUGAGUAACACGUAGGUAACCUGUCUUUAAGACGAGGAUAACCUUUGGAAACGAAGGAUAAUACUGGAUAGGUCGUUAUAGAUCACAUGAUUAAACGAUUAAAGAUUAUAAUGUCACUUAGAGAGGGGCCUGCGGCGCAUUAGCUAGUUGGUGGGGUAAAGGCCUACCAAGGCGAUGAUGCGUAGCCGGACUGAGAGGUUGAACGGCCACAAUGGGACUGAGAACGGCCCAUACUCC
Molecule: ribosomal RNA, 304 nt
Filed under: uncultured Anaeroplasma sp.
Lineage: Bacteria; Bacillati; Mycoplasmatota; Mollicutes; Anaeroplasmatales; Anaeroplasmataceae
Description: bacterial SSU rRNA
Rfam family: Bacterial small subunit ribosomal RNA
Source: RNAcentral